CUGUAAGCCUGUGAAGGUGUACUGUGAGGUAUGCUGGAGGUAUCAGAAGUGCGAAUGCUGACAUAAGUAACGAUAAAGCGGGUGAAAAGCCCGCUCGCCGGAAGACCAAGGGUUCCUGUCCAACGUUAAUCGGGGCAGGGUGAGUCGACCCCUAAGGCGAGGCCGAAAGGCGUAGUCGAUGGGAAACAGGUUAAUAUUCCUGUACUUGGUGUUACUGCGAAGGGGGGACGGAGAAGGCUAUGUUGGCCGGGCGACGGUUGUCCCGGUUUAAGCGUGUAGGCUGGUUUUCCAGGCAAAUCCGGAAAAUCAAGGCUGAGGCGUGAUGACGAGGCACUACGGUGCUGAAGCAACAAAUGCCCUGCUUCCAGGAAAAGCCUCUAAGCAUCAGGUAACAUCAAAUCGUACCCCAAACCGACACAGGUGGUCAGGUAGAGAAUACCAAGGCGCUUGAGAGAACUCGGGUGAAGGAACUAGGCAAAAUGGUGCCGUAACUUCGGGAGAAGGCACGCUGAUAUGUAGGUGAAGUCCCUCGCGGAUGGAGCUGAAAUCAGUCGAAGAUACCAGCUGGCUGCAACUGUUUAUUAAAAACACAGCACUGUGCAAACACGAAAGUGGACGUAUACGGUGUGACGCCUGCCCGGUGCCGGAAGGUUAAUUGAUGGGGUCAGCGCAAGCGAAGCUCUUGAUCGAAGCCCCGGUAAACGGCGGCCGUAACUAUAACGGUCCUAAGGUAGCGAAAUUCCUUGUCGGGUAAGUUCCGACCUGCACGAAUGGCGUAAUGAUGGCCAGGCUGUCUCCACCCGAGACUCAGUGAAAUUGAACUCGCUGUGAAGAUGCAGUGUACCCGCGGCAAGACGGAAAGACCCCGUGAACCUUUACUAUAGCUUGACACUGAACAUUGAGCCUUGAUGUGUAGGAUAGGUGGGAGGCUUUGAAGUGUGGACGCCAGUCUGCAUGGAGCCGACCUUGAAAUACCACCCUUUAAUGUUUGAUGUUCUAACGUUGACCCGUGAUCCGGGUUGCGGACAGUGUCUGGUGGGUAGUUUGACUGGGGCGGUCUCCUCCUAAAGAGUAACGGAGGAGCACGAAGGUUGGCUAAUCCUGGUCGGACAUCAGGAGGUUAGUGCAAUGGCAUAAGCCAGCUUGACUGCGAGCGUGACGGCGCGAGCAGGUGCGAAAGCAGGUCAUAGUGAUCCGGUGGUUCUGAAUGGAAGGGCCAUCGCUCAACGGAUAAAAGGUACUCCGGGGAUAACAGGCUGAUACCGCCCAAGAGUUCAUAUCGACGGCGGUGUUUGGCACCUCGAUGUCGGCUCAUCACAUCCUGGGGCUGAAGUAGGUCCCAAGGGUAUGGCUGUUCGCCAUUUAAAGUGGUACGCGAGCUGGGUUUAGAACGUCGUGAGACAGUUCGGUCCCUAUCUGCCGUGGGCGCUGGAGAACUGAGGGGGGCUGCUCCUAGUACGAGAGGACCGGAGUGGACGCAUCACUGGUGUUCGGGUUGUCAUGCCAAUGGCACUGCCCGGUAGCUAAAUGCGGAAGAGAUAAGUGCUGAAAGCAUCUAAGCACGAAACUUGCCCCGAGAUGAGUUCUCCCUGACUCCUUGAGAGUCCUGAAGGAACGUUGAAGACGACGACGUUGAUAGGCCGGGUGUGUAAGCGCAGCGAUGCGUUGAGCUAACCGGUACUAAUGAACCGUGAGG
Molecule: ribosomal RNA, 1696 nt
Filed under: Escherichia coli
Lineage: Bacteria; Pseudomonadati; Pseudomonadota; Gammaproteobacteria; Enterobacterales; Enterobacteriaceae
Description: partial 23S ribosomal RNA
Rfam family: Bacterial large subunit ribosomal RNA
Source: RNAcentral